GAUGAAGAACGUAGCGAAAUGCGAUAAGUAAUGUGAAUUGCAGAAUUCAGUGAAUCAUCGAAUCUUUGAACGCAUCUUGCGCUCCUUGGUAUUCUGAGGAGCAUGCCUGUUUGAGUGUCAUUAAAUUCUCAACUACACUGACUUUGAAUUGGUGUGGCUUGGAUUUGGGGGGAAAAUUGUUGUGGGCUUUUUGUAUAGUCUGCUCCCCUGAAAUUGAUUAGCGGUACCUUUGUGGAACUGUCUACAGGUGUGAUAAUUAUCUACAUCUUAGACAUCUGCUGGAAUGCUGCUUUCUAAACCUUACUUGUAUUGACAAUCUUGACCUCAAAUCAGGUAGGACUACCCGCUGAACUUAAGCAUACAAUAAGCGGAGGA
This 375-nucleotide unclassified non-coding RNA is filed under the name soil metagenome. RNAcentral's name for it is "partial contains 5.8S ribosomal RNA, internal transcribed spacer 2, and large subunit ribosomal RNA". The stretch from base 1 to 120 matches the Rfam family "5.8S ribosomal RNA", at positions 35 to 154 of the family's 154-position model. The record is from RNAcentral.